UUGAGAGUUUGAUCCUGGCUCAGGACGAACGCUGGCGGCGUGCCUAAUACAUGCAAGUCGUACGCUUCUUUUUCCACCGNGAGCUUGCUCCACCGGAAAAAGAGGAGUGGCGAACGGGUGAGUAACACGUGGGUAACCUGCCCAUCAGAAGGGGAUAACACUUGGAAACAGGUGCUAAUACCGUAUAACAAUCGAAACCGCAUGGUUUUGAUUUGAAAGGCGCUUUCGGGUGUCGCUGAUGGAUGGACCCGCGGUGCAUUAGCUAGUUGGUGAGGUAACGGCUCACCAAGGCCACGAUGCAUAGCCGACCUGAGAGGGUGAUCGGCCACAUUGGGACUGAGACACGGCCCAAACUCCUACGGGAGGCAGCAGUAGGGAAUCUUCGGCAAUGGACGAAAGUCUGACCGAGCAACGCCGCGUGAGUGAAGAAGGUUUUCGGAUCGUAAAACUCUGUUGUUAGAGAAGAACAAGGAUGAGAGUAACUGUUCAUCCCUUGACGGUAUCUAACCAGAAAGCCACGGCUAACUACGUGCCAGCAGCCGCGGUA
RNAcentral lists this ribosomal RNA (547 nucleotides) under Enterococcus durans. Its description in RNAcentral is "bacterial SSU rRNA". It matches the Rfam family "Bacterial small subunit ribosomal RNA", at positions 1 to 522 of the family's 1533-position model. Lineage: Bacteria; Bacillati; Bacillota; Bacilli; Lactobacillales; Enterococcaceae. The record is from RNAcentral.